CUGUUUUCAUAUAAUUCGGCCAUUAAUGCCCAAUCCCCGCUCAGCGGCUCAUUCUCGCUUCGUUUCUGCGUUAAAUAUUCCUUUACGUCUUUCAUUUCUGUUGUAUAUUGCUUUUCAAAUCCUUUGUUUUCUUUUAAAAGCGACUUUUGAAACAAUUUCUAAACCUUUUUUGUGCAAUGUGCUGUGAACUUUUUCAAGAUGGCGCCCGAUACGAGCCUGCUUUCCUACAAUCCAGCAGCCAUUAAUGCCCGUUCGCAGGCUAGAGCCAUCCAGUGAGCUCGAUAUGCAACUGGAGU
This is a non-coding RNA of Paramuricea clavata, 296 nucleotides long. Lineage: Eukaryota; Metazoa; Cnidaria; Anthozoa; Malacalcyonacea; Plexauridae. The record is from the annotation of a GenBank genome assembly.